UGGGGAAUAUUGGACAAUGGGCGCAAGCCUGAUCCAGCCAUGCCGCGUGAGUGACGAAGGCCUUAGGGUUGUAAAGCUCUUUUGGCGGGGAAGAUAAUGACGGUACCCGCAGAAUAAGCUCCGGCUAACUUCGUGCCAGCAGCCGCGGUAAUACGAAGGGAGCUAGCGUUGUUCGGAAUCACUGGGCGUAAAGCGCACGUAGGCGGAUAGUUAAGUCAGGGGUGAAAUCCUGGGGCUCAACCCCAGAACUGCCUUUGAUACUGGCUGUCUCGAGGUCGAGAGAGGUUGGUGGAAUUCCUAGUGUAGAGGUGAAAUUCGUAGAUAUUAGGAAGAACACCAGUGGCGAAGGCGGCCAACUGGCUCGAUACUGACGCUGAGGUGCGAAAGCGUGGGGAGCAAACAGGAUUAGAUACCCUUGUAGUCCCUGAGCGGGCUGGCAAGGCGCAU
This 447-nucleotide ribosomal RNA is filed under the name uncultured bacterium. Its description in RNAcentral is "bacterial SSU rRNA". It matches the Rfam family "Bacterial small subunit ribosomal RNA", at positions 355 to 825 of the family's 1533-position model. The record is from RNAcentral.